AAAUUAUCAAGAGAAAAUGGAGUAUUAGCAAAUUUGAGGAGGCAGCAUCUGCAUACCUUUAAACAUGCAGUAACUGAAUACCAGGUAAGUAAACAAGGGGCUUUUGAGAUUCACAGUCCUAAUGUAAGAUAACUGUUCACGGUUUUCAUUACAAAGAUGUUGAAAAUGAGAUGUGAGCACCAUUCAGAAGCAAAGGCACCACCAGACAUAAAGGGAACACGACUCUACUGCUGGGAACAGACCCUUUUCCUCUCCCUAAGACCAAGAUCUGAGCAAACAAGAUUUUGGCUAGGAUCUUAUUUAGAGUGAUUAGAAAAGCAAGAACAACAGAAUUAAAAAAGAUACUUGAGAAAAGAAGCUAGAGAGUAAAAACUGAAGCAUGUCUAGGAGUUCCCUUAUGGCAUAGCAGGUUAAGGACCCUGCACUGUCACUGCAGUGGCUUGGAUCCCUGCUGUGGCACAAGUUCGAUCCCUGGCUUGAGAACUUCUACACGCCCCAAAGGUGCAGCCAAAAAAAGAAAAAGAAAAACUGAGGUAUAUCUAAAGAGAGGGAAAGGGACUGACUGCACAUGUAGGGUGAGAAAGGAUUAGUGACAAAUCAAGCUUUCCAACAGGGAAGAGGUGGCAAAUUCCAGAGCUGGUGUGACCAUAUUCCAGAAAGGGGGUGUGGUGAGGGGCAGUGAGAAUGGGAUAUGAAGGAGUAAUCUCCCAAUUUUCUCAAGCUUUAGGAUGAGCCAUGAGGUGAUUAUAUUAUAUGGUAUACAGGAAGAACAAAGCACAAAAUGACAAAAUUGGAAGGUCAAUGAGUGUCUACAGACAAGCUUAAACUGGCCACAACAACUGAAAUAAAACACUGUAAUAGUCAUAGACAACUUAAGCCACUCACCAGGUGUGGGGCCACAGACAAGUUACCUGACCUCUAUUAAGUCCUAUUUCCAAAUCUUUUGCUUACCACACUUCACAAGGAAUUAAUUUGUAAAGAAGGAAAAUGUAACCUGUAAAGCACCAUAUUCAUUCAAGAGGUUGUCUAAGAGCUUUCAUAUGGCAGCAAAAAGGAAUCUCAGCAGAACUAACUCCUUUUUUUCUAUUUCACAAGGACAGAUAUAUAUUAUAUCUACAAAUAGGUACAGUAAGACAAAGUCAUGAUGUUAACAGUAUAACUAGGAAAGCAUUCCUUUCUACGAGAGGAAGGAAAAAAACUUAGUUGAGGAGUUUCCUGGUGGCUCAGUGGGUUAAGGAUCCAGCUCUGUCACUACUGUGGCUCUGCUUAGUGCUAUGGCGAGGGUUCGAUCCCUGGCCUGGGAAUUACUGCCUGCUGAGGAUGUAGGCAAAAAAAUUCAAUCAGUUCACAUUGUACACUCCAAUUUCAAUAGCAGUUAAGAGGGAUUUCAUGUUCUAAGAGUCAUUCCAGAGACUAUUUUUAGCUGAAACUUAAACACAAUAUAUCUGUCCAUUAUCAAGGCUAGAAGCUGCCCAAGGCUGAAGAGAAUAAAAUCCUGCUGAGUAUUCAGAUAACAAUUUAUUUAUAAUUACACAUAUACACUAUAUAACCUUUUAAUCAAAAUGUACAAAAUUAUCCAGGUGAGUACAGCUAUAUAAAACAAAACUUAAAGAAAACCAGGGGCUGAGUCUGAAGUCCUAGAAAACAUGAAAAAAUCAUAUUCUGCCAUAAAGAACCAAUAGGAAGCACUCUCCUGAUUAUGCCACAUUAGGCAACAUGAACAAACUUUCCCACUAAAGGCAAAUAAUAGAGUUGGGCAAAAUACAAGAAAUGGCUUUCUUAAAGAAUCAAAGAACCAACAGGAUAGUGCUUUCAGAUCCAUUAAAAGAGUGGAAUUCAGAGAGAUGACCCCAGCAAUCCAGAAAAAACUAGAAGUUAAAUUGUAUUUGACAGACAGACCCUGAAGGACAAAAUGAAAAUCCUCCUUCCAACCCUCAGGUUAGGAACCUAAGGGCUACACCUUAGAAAUAUGGGUGAACUGGAAAUUAAACAGUCCAAACACUGAAUGCAAUGUGGCCUUGAAUCAUCCGGUUGGCACACACAAAAAAGCUGAGAUUAGACUAAGUAAUCCUAGAUUCCCUCAAGUAGAUGCCACUCCCUGCCACACCCCUGCAAAAAUCCUUCCUGGAAGAUAUCAUCCUUGUCUCAAAUGAUUUCUCAAGUUAUUUUUUCAAAUCUAACACCCAGUACACAAUGAAAGACAACCAAGCACAUGGGGAGACAAGAGAAUAAGAUCAAAAGCCACAGAAAAAAACAAACAAUUAAAAGAUACUCAUAGAUGGAGUUCCUGUGUCAUGGCUCAGCAAUAAGAAACCCAACUCGUAUCCAUGAGGAGGCAGGUUCAAUCCCCAGCCUCACUCAGUGGGUUAAGGAUCUGGCAUUGCUGUAAACUAUGGUGUGGGUCACAGAUGCAGCUCGGAUCUAGAGUUGCUGUGGCUGUGGCAUAGGCUUGCAGCUACAGCUCCAAUUCAACCCCUAGCCUGAGAACUUCCAUAUGCUGCAGGUGCAGUCCUAAAAGGACCAAAAAAAAAAAAAAAAAAAGAGAGAGAGAGAAAGAGACUGAUACAGAUUCCAAAGUUUGGAACUACAAAACAUAGAUUUUAAAUCAUACAUACGACAUUCAAGAAGAUGAAAACCAAACUUAAAAAUCUCAACAAUGAACUAGAAACCAUAAAAAUUAAUAUACCAGAUUUUUAAAAAGAAACAAAGAGGAGUUACUGUCAUGGCUCAGUGGUUAACGAACCUGCCUAGCAUCCAUGAGGACGUGGGUUCGAUCCCUGGCCUCCCUCAGUGGGUUAAGGAUCCAGCAUUGCUGUGAGCUGUGGUGUAGGUUGCAGACACAGCUUGGAUCUGACAUUGCUGUGGCUGUAGCACAGGCUGGCAGCUACAGCUCCGAUUCGACCCCUAGCCUGGGAACCUCCAUAUGCCACAGGUGCAGCCCUCAAAAGACAAAAAAAAAGGCAAAAAUAAAAAUAAAAAAAGAAUAAUUACGUUAUUGAAAAAUACAAAAACUGAAAUUAACAACUCAAUGAACGGGUUUAACAGACAGUGGUCAUAGCUGAGACAGUGAAUUAGAGACGGGUCGGGGGAAAAGCUCAGAACGAAGAGAGGAUAAGAAACAUGAGGAGACAGUGAGAAGGUCUAACUCACUUCUUAGAAUGCCAGAAGGAAAGGAGAGAUGAUAUGGGCUAGAAGCAAUAUUCAAAUGGCUGAAAAAUUCCAAAAAUGAUGAAAGAUGUCAAACCACAUUAAGAAUCUCAAUGAGUUUCUAGCUGAAAACCAACAAAGAAAAAUUUAAAAGCAUCCUGAGGAAGGAAAAGAUAACUUUCAAAGAAGCAACCAGUUACAUGGAUACCUUAACUCUCAACAAGAAAAACAGAAGCUAAAAAACGUGUAAUGGAAUCUCUAAGGAACGGAAAUAACAACAUAGGAACUCCAUAU
RNAcentral lists this long non-coding RNA (3441 nucleotides) under Sus scrofa (pig). RNAcentral's name for it is "lncRNA (ENSSSCG00060014315.1)". The record is from RNAcentral. Lineage: Eukaryota; Metazoa; Chordata; Mammalia; Artiodactyla; Suidae.